UUGUGUAUACUGCUAAUUUUCUUAGGAUUCUUUCUGUCAAAGUUUGUAAUUUCUUAAAAGUUAUUUUUGGGUUGCUGAAACUAAUUAAUUUGAUCAGUGUGAUUUUUUGUGAUUAGGAAUUUAGGACCUUGGUAACUUGAUUGAUUAUGAAUUUGUGGGUUUAUCUCCUAAUUAGUAUUCAAAUUUAGUGCAUAUAUAAGUCCAUUUCUUAAGAGGGAUCUAUUUUGAUAAGAAACAAGACCUUUCAAUGUGUGGUUCAAACCGUCAAAUUCAUAAGUCCAGAUGUAACUAUAUUCUUCAAAAGACUUGGCUAACUAUGGUUUUACCAUUUGGUUAUUAUCUUAAACAUUUUGGUAUUUACUCAAAAGCAUUAUAUACUCAUUUUCUUAGUUAGUUGACUUAGUAAUUUCCUAUUUGGGUUUGAUCUAGCAAACACACACCCAAGGCUGCAUAAGAAGAAACUUGGUGAUGCCAAAAAAAUCUUGGUGCAUGACUCCUAAUUGAGAUCUGCUUGCUUACUUAAUCAUUCAGUGUGGUGUGUUUGUUUACAAUUUAAUUCCUUUUAAUUGUGGCCGUAGCACAAUUACUUGAAUAUACAGAAAUGAAAGGGAUGGUUUCUUGCGAUAUCUGUGUCCAUAUGGAUUAUAGCUGAGUGUAAAAAAAUGAUGUGAUGCCUGCCAGAAAUAACAACUCUUUGAGCAUCCUAAUUUGUGGUGUCUGUAUGGAUUAUAGCUCAUUGUAAUAACAACUCUUUGAACAUCCUAAUUUGUAUGUGUUUGUCUGAGAACAAUUGAUUACUACAAAGUAUAGAAGUAAUUCUUUCUUCAGUGAAAAAUAAAAGGAAAUUUUUUACAAGGGUUUACCUUCUGUCCAAAUUGAGCAUGUUUGAGAAUUGCUAAUGGAUUUACUAUGUUUGGGAAUUUUGGGAAUUUAGAUCAUUGGAGGGCGAAGUUGGUUCCUUGACAUUUUGAGUGAACUACUAUUGCUCAAACAAUAUGGAACCAGCCGAGUAAGAAAUAAAGGCUCCACAUCAUUCUUUGGUAUUCUUUUUAUGGUUUCUAUUUCCUUGCUGAGAAAGGAACAUUUGUGGAACUGGAUGGGAACCUUCAUUCUUUGUCAUGUAACUUUUUAACAAGACACUGCCAAUGUUGUGGAUGACAUUAUUUUGCUUUGCUGGCUGCUAAUUUGUUGUGUUUAAUUCUUCUUUGUAGCUGAAGUUUUCUUUCGCAAAGCGUUGACCGACUGUUGUACUCAUAUCUGCGUUUCAUUUUGUAAACUUUUUUCCAUACUUCCCCAAGUGUAUGUUUUGGAAUGGUGAAAUUUUUGUGAUGGUUUCAUACUCUGCUGUCUUCAAUGCACUGUCAAAUCUUAUUCUAAGGAUGUUGUUUGAAUAUGAUUUGUUAAGACGUCCCAUGAUUCACAA
Non-coding RNA from Malus domestica (apple), 1423 nucleotides. The record is from RefSeq and is a predicted model, not a curated record. NCBI's taxonomy places the organism in Eukaryota, Viridiplantae, Streptophyta, Magnoliopsida, Rosales, Rosaceae.